Molecule: ribosomal RNA, 301 nt
Filed under: uncultured bacterium
Lineage: Bacteria
Description: partial 16S ribosomal RNA
Rfam family: Bacterial small subunit ribosomal RNA
Source: RNAcentral
CAGUAGCCGCGGUAAAACGGAGGGUGCAAGCGUUAAUCGGAAUUACUGGGCGUAAAGCGUGCGUAGGCGGUUCGUUAAGUCUGUUGUGAAAGCCCCGGGCUCAACCUGGGAAUGGCAAUGGAUACUGGCGAGCUAGAGUGUGUCAGAGGAUGGUGGAAUUCCCGGCGUAGCGGUGAAAUGCGUAGAGAUCGGGAGGAACAUCAGUGGCGAAGGCGGCCAUCUGGGACAACACUGACGCUGAGGCACGAAAGCGUGGGGAGCAAACAGGAUUAGAUACCCGAGUAGUCCCUGUCUCUUAUAC